ACUAAAAAUAAUCGAAGU
RNAcentral lists this microRNA (18 nucleotides) under Zea mays. RNAcentral's name for it is "microRNA miR-3098". The record is from RNAcentral. Lineage: Eukaryota; Viridiplantae; Streptophyta; Magnoliopsida; Poales; Poaceae.